This 253-nucleotide ribosomal RNA is filed under the name uncultured bacterium. Its description in RNAcentral is "partial 16S ribosomal RNA". It matches the Rfam family "Bacterial small subunit ribosomal RNA", at positions 524 to 776 of the family's 1533-position model. The record is from RNAcentral.
UACGUAGGGCGCAAGCGUUAUCCGGAAUUAUUGGGCGUAAAGAGCGUGUAGGCGGCCAGACAAGUCUGCUGUGAAAACUCGAGGCUCAACCUCGAGCUGUCGGCGGAAACUGUCUGGCUAGAGUCCGGAAGAGGAGAGUGGAAUUCCUGGUGUAGCGGUGAAAUGCGCAGAUAUCAGGAAGAACACCUAUGGCGAAGGCAGCUCUCUGGGACGGUACUGACGCUGAGACGCGAAAGCGUGGGGAGCGAACAGG